This 140-nucleotide small nucleolar RNA is filed under the name Meriones unguiculatus (Mongolian gerbil). RNAcentral's name for it is "Small nucleolar RNA SNORA17 (ENSMUGG00000005071.1)". It matches the Rfam family "Small nucleolar RNA SNORA17". From Rfam's summary of the family: snoRNA ACA 17 belongs to the H/ACA family of snoRNAs and is predicted to guide pseudouridylation of the 28S rRNA at positions U4659 and U4598. The record is from RNAcentral. Lineage: Eukaryota; Metazoa; Chordata; Mammalia; Rodentia; Muridae.
CCUGUCACUAGAGGCUAUUGCAGGUUGGGUCUUGGGCUUUGUGUCACAUGUGUAUUCAUCAGUAGGGGCAGAGAAGAGAGAGGCUGUCUAUGCUCCAUAUUCUGAACUAGGAACAUCUGAAUGAUGAGUAGCCAAACAUU